RNAcentral lists this ribosomal RNA (848 nucleotides) under uncultured bacterium. Its description in RNAcentral is "bacterial SSU rRNA". It matches the Rfam family "Bacterial small subunit ribosomal RNA", at positions 674 to 1532 of the family's 1533-position model. The record is from RNAcentral.
UGUAGUGGUGAAAUGCGUAGAGAUCGGGAGGAACACCAGUGGCGAUAAGCGGCCUUCCUUGACCGUACUGACGCUCAGACGCGAAAGCUAGGGGAGGCGAACGGGAUUAGAAACCCCGGUAGUCCUAGCCGUAAACGAUGUCGACUUGGCGUCGGUGGGGUAAAUGCCAGCGGUGCCGGAGCGAACGCGGUAAGUCGACCGCCUGGGGACUACGGCCGCAAGGUUAAAACUCAAAGGAAUUGACGGGGGCCCGCACAAGCAGCGGAGCGUGUGGUUUAAUUCGAUGUUACGCGAAGAACCUUACCCGGGCUUGACAUGCACGUGGUAGCGGAGCGAAAGCCGAGCGACCCUUCGGGGAGCGUGCACAGGUGCUGCAUGGCCGUCGUCAGCUCGUGUCGUGAGAUGUCCGGUUAAGUCCGGUAACGAGCGCAACCCUCGCCGUAUGUUACAGGUACCAUACGGGACUGCUGGUAUCAAGCCGGAGGAAGGUGGGGAUGACGUCAAGUCAACAUGGCCUUGAUGUCCGGGGCGACACGCACGCUACAAUGGCCGGUACAAUGGGUUGCAAACCCGCGAGGGGGAGCCAAUCCCCAAAGCCGGUCUCAGUUCAGAUUGCAGGCUGCAACCCGCCUGCAUGAAGUCGGAGUUGCUAGUAACCGCAGGACAGCUCUACUGCGGUGAAUACGUUCCCGGGCCUUGUACACACCGCCCGUCACGUCAUGGGAGCUGGCAACACCUGAAGCCGGUAUCAUAACCGCAAGGAGUGAGCCGUCGAAGGUGGGGCUGGUGACUGGGACGAAGUCGUAACAAGGUAGGUGUACCGGAAGGUGCGGCUGGAUCACCUCCUU